This 460-nucleotide ribosomal RNA is filed under the name uncultured bacterium. RNAcentral's name for it is "partial 16S ribosomal RNA". It matches the Rfam family "Bacterial small subunit ribosomal RNA", at positions 338 to 795 of the family's 1533-position model. The record is from RNAcentral.
CCUACGGGUGGCAGCAGUGAGGAAUAUUGGUCAAUGGCCGGAAGGCUGAACCAGCCAAGCCGCGUGAAGGACGAAGGUGCCAAGCAUUGUAAACUUCUUUUGUCAAGGGACAAAAUCAGGCUCGAGAGCCUGACCGAGGGUACUUGAAGAAAAAGCAUCGGCUAACUCCGUGCCAGCAGCCGCGGUAAUACGGAGGAUGCGAGCGUUAUCCGGAUUUAUGGGGUUUAAAGGGUGCGUAGGCGGUCGGAUAAGUUAGAGGUGAAAGCCCGAGGCUCAACUUCGGAAUUGCCUGUGAUACUGUCCGGCUAGAGAGCAGGUGAGGAAGGCGGAAUGCAUGGUGUAGCGGUGAAAUGCGUAGAGAUUAGACAGAACACCGAUUGCGAAGGCAGCUUACCAGGCUACUUCUGACGUUGAGGCACGAAAGCGUGGGGAGCAAACAGGAUUAGAUACCCUUGUAGUC